GACGAACGCUGGCGGCGUGCCUAACACAUGCAAGUCGAACGGGGAUCAGAUGAAGGUUUACCUUAAUCUGAUUCUAGUGGCGAACGGGUGAGUAACGCGUGGGCAACCUGCCUCAUACAGGGGGAUAACACUGGGAAACUAGUGCUAAUACCGCAUAAUGUCACGAUAUGGCAUCAUAAUGUGACCAAAGGAGCAAUCCGGUAUGAGAUGGGCCCGCGUCCGAUUAGCUAGUUGGUGAGGUAACAGCUCACCAAGGCGACGAUCGGUAGCCGAACUGAGAGGUUGAUCGGCCACAUUGGGACUGAGACACGGCCCAGACUCCUACGGGAGGCAGCAGUGGGGAAUAUUGCGCAAUGGGGGAAACCCUGACGCAGCAACGCCGCGUGAAGGAUGAAGGUUUUCGGAUUGUAAACUUCUUUGAUGAGGGACGAACAAAAUGACGGUACCUCAAAACAAGCCACGGCUAACUACGUGCCAGCAAGCCGCGGUAAAAU
RNAcentral lists this ribosomal RNA (494 nucleotides) under uncultured bacterium. RNAcentral describes it as "bacterial SSU rRNA". It matches the Rfam family "Bacterial small subunit ribosomal RNA", at positions 28 to 526 of the family's 1533-position model. The record is from RNAcentral.